This 165-nucleotide ribosomal RNA is filed under the name uncultured bacterium. RNAcentral's name for it is "partial 16S rRNA". It matches the Rfam family "Bacterial small subunit ribosomal RNA", at positions 354 to 510 of the family's 1533-position model. The record is from RNAcentral.
UAGGGGAAUCUUCCACAAUGGACGCAAGUCUGAUGGAGCAACGCCGCGUGAGUGAAGAAGGGUUUCGGCUCGUAAAGCUCUGUUAGUUAAAGAAGAACGUGGGUAAGAGUAACUGUUUACCCAGUGACGGUAUUUAACCAGAAAGCCACGGCUAACUACGUGCCA